GCCAAACAAAAAAGGUUUUUUCAGCAUUAUCUGUUUAAAUUUUUCAACAUAUUUAUAAGCCAUUUGUUUUUCUUUUUUAAUUUUCUGUUCAAGUUCUUUACCCAUUUUAAACAUUUUUUGAUAUAUAUCUUUUUUCCAUUAAUUGAUAAGAAUUGUUUAAACAGGAAAAAUCAACAUUUUGUCACAUAUGCUACAAAUAUUUUUCAUGUGACUGAAGACUUUAAUUAUUUUACAAGUAUUAGGGGAAAUAAAGCAAGACAGAGACUUCCCUGAAGAACUCACACAUAUGCUUCAAAAGAAAGCCAGUGUUUUUGUUGCCAAUCAGUGUUGGCCUGAGGAGUAGCAGCAACCAAGGUGGGAAGUCCAUUUGCACAUGAGCUAACCUGCCAUCUUUUCUAUCAAAUCCAACCACAGACAAGGCAAGAACUUCGAGAGGUGAGAGGAAAUAAAAGAAAUGGUUUCACCCCUUGCUCUGAGGUGCUGGUGGGAAGAGAAUGUGAAGCCUCCUGCAGGAACAUGGAAGAUGGGUCCUGCGACAAGGAGGGAGAAAGGCUAUCAGGGUUAUCUCUGUCAACACCAGUGAUUUUAGAGAGAAUGACAAAUAUAGAAGAUGUGGAAGACAAGUACUGGACAUGUCCUGAUCAAGACAAAUAUUGAAAGGUGAUUUUUAAAAUAUAGCUCCCUAGUAGCAGCUUUGUUGAUCUGACUCUUUCUCAUAAAAGCCAGUUACAUUUUUAAUUUCCUACUCAUUAGAAAUUCCAACUAUAUAAAGCCUAUGUCUUAUUACAGAAAACUAAAAAUGCUUAAGCCUGCACUAUUUUAAUUCCAUUUUACUGGUAGGAUUUUGUAAUAAGUUAAAACAAGUAUAAUUAGGAGUUCCCAUUGCAGCUUAGUGGGUUAAGAACCUGAUCUUGUCUCUCUGAGGAUGUGGGUCCAAUUCCUGGUCUCGCUCAGUGGGUUAAGGAUUCGGCAUUUCUGUGAGCUCUCACGUAGGUCACAGCUGCAGCUCAGAUCUGGUGUUGCUGUGGUUGUGGUGUAGGCCAGCAACUGCAGCUCCAAUUCAACCCCCAGCCAGGGAACUUCCAUAUACCACAAGUUUGGCCAUAAAAAGAAAAAAAAAAAACAAGCAAAAAACAAGUUUAAUUAAUCAAGCAGUGUCUAUAAAGAUGCCUAAAUUUAAACAGUAUUUGACCAUAGAUAUUUCUCAGGCUAUAACAUAAAAGCUAUACUAUAGCGGAAAGGGGGGGUUAAUGAAACAGCCAAUUUCUUCAAAGAAAAUAUAUCAAAUAGAAAAUAUGAUACAAUAAAGUUAUGUGGCAUCUAGACCA
Molecule: long non-coding RNA, 1328 nt
Filed under: Sus scrofa (pig)
Lineage: Eukaryota; Metazoa; Chordata; Mammalia; Artiodactyla; Suidae
Description: lncRNA (ENSSSCG00070010733.1)
Source: RNAcentral